Molecule: ribosomal RNA, 378 nt
Filed under: uncultured bacterium
Lineage: Bacteria
Description: bacterial SSU rRNA
Rfam family: Bacterial small subunit ribosomal RNA
Source: RNAcentral
GACGAACGCUGGCGGCGUGCUUAACACAUGCAAGUCGAGCGGUAAGGCCCUUUCGGGGGUACACGAGCGGCGAACGGGUGAGUAACACGUGGGUGACCUGCCCUCAGCUCUGGGAUAAGCCUGGGAAACCGGGUCUAAUACCGGAUAUGACUCCAUGACGCAUGUUGUGGGGUGGAAAGCCUUGUGCGGCUGAGGAUGGGCCCGCGGCCUAUCAGCUUGUUGGUGGGGUGAUGGCCUACCAAGGCGACGACGGGUAGCCGGCCUGAGAGGGCGACCGGCCACACUGGGACUGAGACACGGCCCAGACUCCUACGGGAGGCAGCAGUAAGGAAUAUUGCGCAAUGGGCGAAAGCCUGACGCAGCGACGCCGCGUGGGGA